Molecule: transfer RNA, 132 nt
Filed under: Musca domestica (house fly)
Lineage: Eukaryota; Metazoa; Arthropoda; Insecta; Diptera; Muscidae
Rfam family: tRNA
About the family: Transfer RNA (tRNA) molecules are approximately 80 nucleotides in length. Their secondary structure includes four short double-helical elements and three loops (D, anti-codon, and T loops). Further hydrogen bonds mediate the characteristic L-shaped molecular structure. tRNAs have two regions of fundamental functional importance: the anti-codon, which is responsible for specific mRNA codon recognition, and the 3' end, to which the tRNAs corresponding amino acid is attached (by aminoacyl-tRNA synthetases). tRNAs cope with the degeneracy of the genetic code in two manners: having more than one tRNA (with a specific anti-codon) for a particular amino acid; and 'wobble' base-pairing, i.e. permitting non-standard base-pairing at the 3rd anti-codon position.
Source: Rfam by way of RNAcentral
GUCAGGAUGGCCGAGCGGUCUAAGGCGCCAGACUCAAGUGUAACAACUUGUUCUGUUUCCAAACAGAAUUCAAAUUCAAUGUGAGAUUUCUGGUCCUCUCUGAGGGCGUGGGUUCAAAUCCCACUCCUGACA